AACGUUCAUCCCACUGGGACGGAAGUAAGCAUAAGCUGAAGGAACGCUUC
This 50-nucleotide non-coding RNA is filed under the name unclassified sequences. The record is from Rfam.